RNAcentral lists this long non-coding RNA (234 nucleotides) under Gossypium barbadense (sea-island cotton). Its description in RNAcentral is "long non-coding RNA (GBAR_LNC015643)". The record is from RNAcentral. Lineage: Eukaryota; Viridiplantae; Streptophyta; Magnoliopsida; Malvales; Malvaceae.
CGAUAGAACCCUUCACCUUAACUCGGUGGUUCGUAAAACCAUACAGCAGGCUAGCCUUGGACAAAACUUGUUCCUUCAACCCCAUCUUUUGAGAAGCCUUCUAGGUUAAAACCUCCACCACACUCCCAUUGUCGACCAAUAUUCUUCUAACUUCAAAACCUGCAAUCAUUACUGACACAACCAUUGGGUUAUUUCCCUAUUUGUCACACACUAGCUUCUCAUCGUCAUUACUAA